AACAGCUUUAAGUGACCACAGCUAAACC
RNAcentral lists this non-coding RNA (28 nucleotides) under Mus musculus (house mouse). The record is from RNAcentral. Lineage: Eukaryota; Metazoa; Chordata; Mammalia; Rodentia; Muridae.